Molecule: long non-coding RNA, 583 nt
Organism: Ipomoea nil (Japanese morning glory)
Lineage: Eukaryota; Viridiplantae; Streptophyta; Magnoliopsida; Solanales; Convolvulaceae
Exons: 3
Source: RefSeq, a predicted model, not a curated record
CCAUCACAAUGCUUUGUUUUAAUUAAACAGUGGAAUUCCCCAUGUUUGUACGACUUCUAAGUUGGCUAUUUGACGCUCGGGGAAGGCCCUCGAAGGAGCCGUUCUCAGUCCGUCCCUUUAAAGGGAUCGCUCCACCAACUAAGAACGACCAUGCACCACCACCCAUAGAAUCUCGAAAGAGCUCUCAGUGUGGUAAGAGUGUUUCACUCUCUAGAGAGAAUUCUCUUGAUUCUCUCUAGAGUGUCAGGCCAAAAUGAGUUCUCUCAUUGAUUUUCACCAGUGAACGAAGAAUUCAUUUUGACCCACUGAAAAGUCUUCACGUUUUUUUACUGAUUUUAGCGAUUGAGAACUCUUUCGAGAUUUUAUGGGUGGUGGUGCAUGAUCGUUUUUAGUUGGUGGAGCGAUUUGUCUGGUUAAAUAAUGCCUACAAGGAAUCGGCGGAUGUUGUUUUUAGGACUCCGACGGCACCUUUUGAGAAAUCAAAGUCUUUGGGUACCGGGGGGAAGUAUGGUCGCAAGGAUGAAACUUAAAGGAAUUAACGGAAGGACAUCACAAGGAGUGGAGUUUGCGGCUUAAUUUGAAU